UGCUUGCUGUGAAGAAAUCGCAAGGACGGUAUCUGAGAAAGGUGGCUCUUGAAAAAGUGCUCCUUCCUUGAUUAUAUUCCCAAAACUGAUCAAAUAUUCUGAGCAAGCA
This is a non-coding RNA of Brachypodium distachyon (stiff brome), 109 nucleotides long. NCBI's taxonomy places the organism in Eukaryota, Viridiplantae, Streptophyta, Magnoliopsida, Poales, Poaceae. The record is from Rfam.